UACGGGGGGUGCGAGCGUUGUCCGGAAUCACUGGGCGUAAAGGGCGCGUAGGUGGUUUGAUAAGGGUGUGGUGAAAGUCCGGGGCUCAACCCCGGAUCUGCCGUGCCGACUGUCAGACUGGAGGGCUCGAGAGGCAGACGGAAUUCCGGGUGUAGCGGUGGAAUGCGUAGAGAUCCGGAAGAACACCGGUGGCGAAGGCGGUUAGCUGGGCAGUUGCUGACACUGAGGCGCGACAGCGUGGGGAGCAAACAGG
RNAcentral lists this ribosomal RNA (253 nucleotides) under uncultured bacterium. RNAcentral describes it as "partial 16S ribosomal RNA". It matches the Rfam family "Bacterial small subunit ribosomal RNA", at positions 524 to 776 of the family's 1533-position model. The record is from RNAcentral.